Molecule: long non-coding RNA, 2369 nt
Filed under: Anthonomus grandis grandis
Lineage: Eukaryota; Metazoa; Arthropoda; Insecta; Coleoptera; Curculionidae
Description: uncharacterized LOC126749321
Source: RNAcentral
CACCGCUAGCGGAAAAUGAGCUGGUGCACCAUCAUGCAUAAAAUACGUGAUCUGCCUCUGUGCUAUGGGAACUUCCUCCAAAAGUGCUGGUAGAUCAUGUAUUAGAAAAUUAAGGUAACUUUGACCAUUUAGCCUAAAAUGUUUAUUAUUAUAAAUAACAAGCGACUUUUCAAAAGGUGUCAAAUUAACCUCGGGGGUAGAAAAAAUGGUCCAAUAAGUCUAUCGCCAAGAAUUCCCGCCCAAACAUUAACUGAGAAUCGAAUUUGGUGUCGACUUUCCACAACAGCAUGAGGGUUCUCAUCGGACCAGUGAUGUGUAUUAUGGUAAUUGAAAAUUCCAUUUCUUGUAAACCCAGCUUCAUCCGUGCAUAAAAUAUUUGCCAAAAAAAGGGGUUCUUGUACCUGUUUUCUUAAUAACCAACGACAGAAGAUGACUCGAGCGGGAUAGUCUGCCGGAGCAAGAGCUUGUACCCUUUGGAUGUGAUACGGAUGCAGGAGUUGAGUCUUAAGAGUCAUCCACACAGAAUGGCGACUCACGUUUUCCCGCGCUGCAAUUCUCCUUACAGAUAUCCCCGGAUCUUCCUCUACAUGUGCUAAAAUGCGCUCCUCAACAUCAGGUGUACGUACCAUCAAGUUACGGCCACGGUCUUGGUUUCUAUGUCCAAAUGAACCUGUGUCUCUUAGGCGCUGAUGAAUUCUCGCAAAUAUCCGGUGAGAAGGUGCCCUGCGAUUUGGAUAUUUUUGGACAUACAAGCGCUUAGCCAAAAGACCGUUUCCGUUUGCUCUUCCAUAAAUAAAAUGCAUAUCUGCCAGUUCACACACAGGGUAUUCCAUAAUUUGUGAAAUUUUACGUUUACGCACACUUCAACAACAAUCAACUGACAAAAAUAUUUAUGAACCAGAACAUUUCUUUUGCGUACAUGCAAAAUAAAUAAAGUGAUAAGACCGCAUACCUUCAAUAGCUACGUUUACCCCGCGAGUACCAAAUAUUCAGUACGCGGACUAAAACCUCUACAUAUUCUCAAACCUAUUAAGUCACAAUUUGGAAUAAUUUACGUGUAAACUUGUCAACUCGCGCACGUUGAGUUUGAGAAUAGGGGAUUGGGUCCGCGUAUUGAAUAUUUGGUACUCGCGGUGUAAACUAGGCUAAUGAAUCAAAUAAGUAUGCAUUUAAUAAGGAAUUUUGGUAAUUGGUUUAUUUCGUUUUUUUAAAGCAAUACGAUGUUUUAAAAAUCAUGAAAUUUAGAUUUUUCAAUUAAUUAUUUAAUAACUACUUGUUUACUUUUGAAACCCCAUAACUUUCAUAAGUUUAUGUUGUUUAACCAGUUAGCAGCCCAUCAGAGCAAACUUUUUGCCUUCAAUUUUCUCGAAAACCAUCGUUCUGGGCGAUGUGCAACAAGAGUACCUUUUUUGUAGGAAAAAGUAUGUAGUUUUUAAAAAAUGAACCCACGUUGCGAAAAAAAUAACCUAAAAAAAGUUAUUCACGAAUUAACCCCCUACCCUUGCAAAAACUACCCUUUCCGAUUUUCCAAAUUAUUUUUCAGUAUCACCAUUUGAUUUUGGGUCAAAAUUUAUGGCAGAGGAUUUUUUUUCGAAAUUUUAUCUCGUUUUUUAAGCCUACAAUUUCAAAAAACCGUUUUUUAAAUUUACCCUUUCAGUGCCCCUAACUCCCUUAAUAUGCAUUUUCCACCCUAUAGUUAUAGGAACUUUUUUUAAAAUUUUUAGGAGUACUAUCACCCCCCGAAUUUUUUUACACCAUUUCAAUGACACCCUGUAUAUUGGAACAGGCAAUAACAAAACACUCAGAUAAAAUAGUUAAAAUGAAGUGUUCAGCAUUAUUUUCCUCAGAUUGGUGUAAGAUAAUAAUUUCGAUAGUAGUGAUACAAUGCUUAGUUUAUUGCAUUGCUGACGAGCUCCCGGAUCCUAGAAGACUCAAUACCAAUGAAGUAGAGCGAAUAAUGUCGGAUAAUACACCUGUUGCUCUUGUCUUUUUAGAGGCCUGGGUGUCUAGUAACCUCGGUAGUUCUUGGUGGCAUUUUUUGUACACAGGAACUGGAACUGAGAUACCAACGUUAGGAAAUAUGGGCCGACAUAAAAAUAUAAUAAUUCAAGCACUUCCAGAAAAUGCCAAAUUUACGAGCAUAGUACUGCUUGAAAGAACUAGAACGUCUCGCUAUCAGGUGACUGUCCAAAAAGUUACCAGACGUAAGUGGUUAACUUGGUCCUAUCGACGGAAAGAGAAAGACAAAGCUGUAUCCUCGAAGUAUCUAAAAACUCUUGAAAUCGCCAUCCAUAAUAAUAACAUAACAAAUAAAUAAAUAAAAACAUGUUUGUAUUUAAUAUUUAUUAAUAAAAAAGUACAUAAUAUAA